This 429-nucleotide ribosomal RNA is filed under the name uncultured bacterium. Its description in RNAcentral is "bacterial SSU rRNA". It matches the Rfam family "Bacterial small subunit ribosomal RNA", at positions 917 to 1344 of the family's 1533-position model. The record is from RNAcentral.
GGACCCGCACAAGUAGUGGAGCAUGUGGUUUAAUUCGAAGAUACGCGCAGAACCUUACCAACACUUGACAUGUUCGUCGCGACUCUGAGAGAUUAGAGUUUUCGGUUCGGCCGGACGAAACACAGGUGCUGCAUGGCUGUCGUCAGCUCGUGUCGUGAGAUGUUGGGUUAAGUCCCGCAACGAGCGCAACCCUCACUUUUAGUUGCCAUCAUUUAGUUGGGCACUCUGAAAGAACUGCCAGUGAUAAGCUGGAGGAAGGUGGGGAUGACGUCAAGUCCUCAUGGCCCUUACGUGUUGGGCUACACACGUGCUACAAUGGUAUCUACAACAGGAAGCAAGACUGCGAGGUCAAGCAAAUCCUAAAACGAUGCCUCAGUUCGGAUUGUACUCUGCAACUCGAGUACAUGAAGCUGGAAUUACUAGUAAUCG